GCGAUCCAUUUUCUGCCACCGAAUACAUUAGCAUGGGAUAAUGGAAUAGGACCCUGUCCUCCUAUUUUCAGUUGGUUUUGGCAGCGCGAGGACUAGGGUAAUGAUUAAUAGGGAUAGUUGGGGGCAUUAAUAUUUAAUUGUCAGAGGUGAAAUUCUUGGAUUUAUGAAAGAUUAACUUCUGCGAAAGCAUCUGCCAAGGAUGUUUUCAUUAAUCAAGAACGAAAGUUAGGGGAUCGAAGACGAUCAGAUACCGUCGUAGUCUUAACCAUAAACGAUGCCGACCAGCGAUUAGGAGACGUUGAAUACAAAACACCACCAUCGGCGCGGUCGUCCUUGGCGUCUGUCCCUUUCAACGGGGGCAGGCGCGAGGGCGGUUUAGCCCGGUGGCACCGGUGAAUGACUCCCCUAGCACCUUGUGAGAA
RNAcentral lists this ribosomal RNA (422 nucleotides) under Acanthamoeba sp. RNAcentral's name for it is "SSU rRNA". It matches the Rfam family "Eukaryotic small subunit ribosomal RNA", at positions 780 to 1096 of the family's 1831-position model. Lineage: Eukaryota; Discosea; Longamoebia; Acanthamoebidae. The record is from RNAcentral.